AUGGAGAAAGGUAUUGUAUUUCUUGUAUGUUUGCCUUAAGAGGAGAAUUCCACUUUCUAUAGACCUCUUCAGGUGCAUCUUCGAGAUGCGUAAACUGGCUUAGUACAAUGUGUUUGUCUUUUUCACUACUAGGGUCCCUUUACUCUUUCCCAAGUUUAGGAAUUCGAACAGUGGGUGAAAAUCUUGGUCUUUCUUUGCUCGCCCUCCCGAAGGUCGAUUCCCUUUCAAUACCAAUUGGUAGCAUCCCCAAAUUCGCAUUUUCAAUAGCCAAGUAGAAAUUACUUCUCUUCUAAAAACUCAAAUCCAAGAGUUGGUCGAUGUACCCCCUUUCGCACUUGACUUAGGAUUGGUUCUGACCAUGAGGAAAAUGUUAAUAGUGGGGAUGAGUCAUCCUACUGGUAGGCGGUUUCGUUGGGUUUUGCGAUUUUUUGUUUGCACAUAUUUUUUGUUUGUUGUUUUUCUGGGUUAAUGAGUUUUGGCGUAUGUAUGUAGAUAUGGAUUUUGACCUUGAUCAGGUAUUGAAGACCCUGCCGGGAGGUGACAAGGACCUUGCUCCCAUUGACGGGAUGGAGUUUGAUUUGAAGGGGACUAUGGAUUCUAUGCCCGAGUAGGGACAUAGGAGUGAUGUUGAUCCAUCUCCCAUCCCUUUAAAAAGGAAGAAGACAGGCAUCCAAGGAGGAAGGUCUCAGAUGGACAAAAAGACCCCCCAACCUUCAGACGAGCCCAUGAGGUUGUCCCUUCUCCUAGGCCAGGUGCUUCCAACCGUAUGCAGUGUGAGCGCGAGGAUUCACUUCUGAAUUUUCGGUUUCCUCCCACCCGGGGCUAUCAUGAGAUGGGGGCGCUUAAGUCUUUGAUAACACCCGCUCAAGCCAGGGCAAUUGCAGGACAUAGUGCUGACAACAUCGAGAGGGCAGUGGUGGCCUAUCUCCAAAGGGUGGUGGCCCUUCAGGCCGGGCUUGCUGAAUCGAGUCGUCGCCAAGCCUUAGAGUUGAAGACUCCUAUAGAAAAAAAAAGAAAGAGGCCCAUCAUUACAAGAAAAAGAUAUAUUCUUUGAAGAAAUCUCUAGAGGCGGACAGAGAAUAACAAUUUGCAGUCUGUGUUGGCUUGUGCUUCGGAGGAGGUGGUCGAGAGGUAUAAGGCCUCUGCUGAGUAUAAUAGGGACUUAGAGGCAUCCGUGGAGCAGUACAAGCCGUCAUCUGAUUAUGCCAAGGCUUUACAUUCAUAUAGGGGAAGGCAAUGGCAGCGUCCAUCAAACUAACACAGGAGUGGAUAUUGACCAAGCAUCCUUGAACCCUCAGGUUUUGAUAAGUUCAGAAGCAGAGUGGGGCGCAGCCAUCCAGGUCACUUGGUCAUUCGUCACGAGAUGGUAGUGGCGAUGCUUCUCUUUCGAGUUGAAGCAUGCUUAGUCGUAGUUCUUUUUGUUAGUGCCCCUCUUUUUUGUAUCGCCUUUUAUUUCUACUUGUAGCAUCAUUCCCUACUUGUCCGAGGUGUGGGUAAGAGCACAUCACAUGUUUUU
Olea europaea var. sylvestris is the source of this 1516-nucleotide long non-coding RNA. RefSeq lists it as uncharacterized. The record is from RefSeq and is a predicted model, not a curated record. The transcript is spliced from 3 exons. NCBI's taxonomy places the organism in Eukaryota, Viridiplantae, Streptophyta, Magnoliopsida, Lamiales, Oleaceae.